RNAcentral lists this ribosomal RNA (3058 nucleotides) under Ophiocordyceps sinensis. RNAcentral's name for it is "LSU rRNA". The stretch from base 306 to 2015 matches the Rfam family "Bacterial large subunit ribosomal RNA", at positions 15 to 2044 of the family's 2925-position model. Lineage: Eukaryota; Fungi; Ascomycota; Sordariomycetes; Hypocreales; Ophiocordycipitaceae. The record is from RNAcentral.
UAAGUAUAUAAAGAAACUAUUAUGGAAUUUAUGCCAUGUAUCAAAGAGAAAUAUUUAUAUCCAUAGGUAAUAAACUCCUAUAUUUUUAACUCUGGGGCCUAUUUCAUUAGCCCAAGCACAAAGGGACUGAUUGAAACCCUGGGUUAAUAACCUUAUUUCAGGCUGCGCUAUUUAUAAAUAUGCUAAAGCUCUUUAUUUUGAAGUUUAUUUAAGAAUUGUAAACUUACUAUUUACUAUAAAAUAAUUAUGAAAAUUGUCUUGCUGGGCCUCCAGUAACGCACAAAUUUUCAUAUCUUAGAAAUUAAGGGAGCUGCUAUCUCUCAGAUUGUUUGCUUAUUGCUUUAUAAAGUCGCAAAGUAAACUGUGGGCAAAGCAGAAUAUUGGGGGUAACUUCCUAUAAGUUACAUAAGCUCUAAGAGAAAUCUAAUCUCUAAACGAAGUGAAUUGAAAUAUCUUAGUAACUUCAGGAAAAUAAAUCAAAAGAGAUUCUAUGAAUAACGUGAGUGAAAAUAGAGUAGCCUAUAAAGUAGAACGGUACAAAAACUGUUUAAAUAAUGGGGAACCUUCCUCAAAGGCUAAAUAUGAUACAUGAGCGAUAGUGAAAAGUACCAUGAGGGAACUUAAACGAAAAUAGUAGUUUUAUAAGCAGUUCGAUAAAAAGAACGUACCUUUUGCAUAAUGGGUCACCAAGUUAACGUUAGAUGCGAGCAUAUGCGUAGUUAAACCGGACGUUAAAAUAACGAAACAGUGUCUAAGUUAGACCCGAAGCACGGUGAUUUUACCAUAGUCAGGAUUAUAAAAGUCCGAACGGGUGAUUGUAGCAUAAAUCUCCGAAGAACUGUGGUAGGUGUAGUGAAAGACAACACUGACUGUGAUAGCUGGUUUUCUGCGAAACCUAUAAUAGUAGGCAAUUUAAGUAAAUAUCUUAGCAGGUACAUAAUUUAAUCUCAGACAAGAUGUGUAAACGUUUUAUUUUGUACAAAUUGGGGGAUCAUGAAGAUUUUAUCAGUGAGUAUGUAGACUCGGAAUGGCAAAGAUAUAUCUUGAAUUAUCAGACAUAGAAUGAUAAGGUUGUAUGUCAAAAGGGAAACAGCCCUGAACAAGAGUUAAGGUUCCUAAAUUAUUAGUUAAGUGAAAUUAAGAAGGUUUUAAUUCAAGUCGGCAAGGAGAUAGGCUUAGAAGCAGCCAUAAUUUUAUGACCUCGUAAUAGAGCGCUUGUUAAGCUAUAAAAGCAUCGAAAAUUUAACGGAUCUAAACAAUAUACCGAAACCUUGUUAAAUGUUAGUAGAUAGGGCGUUUGGGGUAGCAGAACGUUGAGUAAAUAAUGGAUUUUAUUUUUUUUAAAUAGAAUUAUAAUAAUUUAACUCAAGUGAGAAUGGUGACAUGAGUAACUAAAAGAAAAUUUUCCGCCUUAAGCUUAUGGAUAUAAUUAAGUAACGGCCUCUAAGUUUAUAUUAUCUAAAGAUUUAAACGAUGAGAAAAUCUUUUUUACUAAGGACAACAUUUUAGUCUAAAAUGUGCUGGAAAAAUAGUAAAUAUAUUUGAUAUCUAAUAACAAAAUAUAUAUGUUAUCUAAGAACAAAUGAACAAAACCGUACCUAGAAUCUGAAAAAAGUAAGCUAGUAGAGAAUACGAAGGCGUAAAUGAGCUAACAAUCAAAAGGAACUCGGCAAAUUGACUACCGUAACUUCGGAAUAAGGAGGGCUCAAUUCUUGAUUAAUAUCAAGUAAAAAGGAAGAAGCAUAAAAUGAUGUUGUACGACUGUUUAAUUAAAACACAGCACUUUGCUGAAAGAUAAAAAAAUCUAAGUAUAAAGUGUGAAAUCUGCCCGGUGCCGGCUUUGGUUAACAGAGAUAAUUAAAUAUACUAUUAUUUGACGUCGACGGAAACCCCGGUUAAAGGCGGCCUUAACGUGAGGGUCCUAAGGUAGCGAAAUGCCUUGGCCGUUAAAUGCGGUCUUGCAUGAAUGGUGUAACGAUACAACAGCUGUCUCUAUGAUUGACUCAGUGAAAUUGGAAUAGCUGUGCAGAUACAGCUUACCUCUAGUUAGACGAGAGACCCUAUGCAGCUUUACUGUCACUAAUUAUAGAGUAUGUUAGAGAAUUCCCAGAUUAUAAGGUAAUUGACAAUGUGACUAUGUGAAUCCUUUAUUUAUCUUUCAUAUGAAUGAAUUGGUUUAGGAUUAUAAAGAAGUUAAUAUUAAUCUGGCUUUACUGAGUCCUUUUUUUUUAGCUAGCCCCUAAUCCCGAAGGGGAUACGGGACCAGGAAGCUAAAAAAAAAACAAAAAGAUUAUAGAAACAAUAUAAUUUAUAAUAGUAAAUCAACCUAAUUCAGUUUACUAUUUUUAAUAGUAAGUGACCUUUGGUAAGGAACUAUCGCUAGGAGACAGUUUAUGUGGGGCACAGACCCUGUAAAGAGUAAACAGGAGUGUCUAAUAAUUUAUAAUUAUUUUGUUUGCUAUUUUGAGUAGUUUAACUAUUUUUAAUCAUAUAUAAUUAUUUAUAUUUGCUGGGGCAUGCAUGCUUCUUUGGGGUACAGAAGUAUGCAGCCCAUUAUACACUAAAUAUAUUUAAGUUUAAUUUAGGUAGGAUUUUAACUAUGUAGAAAUUAGAGAUAAUUGAAAAUAUUAUGUAAAUUUUAAGGCUGUGCUAUCUUUUUAUAAAUAUGCUAAAGCUUAUAUUAAAGUUUUCUAAUAUUUUAGAGCUAUUUUUUUGUCUUGCUAUUGCUGCAUGUUUCUACGAAGUAAGCAGCGCUAUUUUUUUUUAAUAGCGUGCAUGUUUCACUAUUUUUUACUUAUUUUAUUAUUUUGGCUGUUUCUACGCAGUGUUUCACACUGCUAGAAACAGCCAGAAAUAACUAAAAUAAUAAAAAAAUGAACAGCAGAAAAAUGCUGCUAGAAAAAAGGAAUAGUUAUGUUUUGAAUAUCUAAAAAGCUCAACGGCUAAAUCUUGCCUUACUGUUUGAUUAUCUACAAAUCUUACAGUUGCGUAAGCAGGGCAUAGGAUCACAAGAUGCAAUAAGGAUAGAUCUUGGAUUAUUGGAAAAGCUACGCUAGGG